AUGAAACAAAAUGAUUUGAAUAAAUCAUCAUUAAAGCAGUACGAAGAUGUAAUUGAGGCUCUAAAAAAUAAAGAAUUCGGCCAAACCGUGUUUGAUGUUUUGCAAAACAUAUUUUUAGAAGAAAAAGAAAAUACAAAAUUAAAAUAUGAAAACUUGGUUGACCAAAUUGAAAAAAUAAAAAUAUAUUUUGAUGAAAAAGUUGACGCACUUAAAAAUAACACCCAUGAAAAUUUGGUAGAAAUAAAAUAUUACUUAGACCAGUUAAAUAAAAACAAUAAAGAAAAUGCAGCUGAAAAUAAUACACUAAAAGACGAUUUUUGUGCUUUACAAGAUGAUAUUCUUAAAUUAAAAAAACAAAAAGAGGAAAACAUAAAUAUCAUGAAGACAAGCAUGAGGACUUAUUUUGAUAAAAUCAAAAAUAUGCUAAAUGUCAUGAACACAAAUGUUGAAAGUAUACAGAAAGAACUUAUAACAUACAAAGAAAAUAAUACAAUUGAAAAUAAAAAAAAAAAUAUUGAAAUUUUGCAAAUAAUAAAUGAUGAAAAUGAAAAGUUAAACAAAAGAUUGGAAGAAUCCUUUAACUCUUUAAACAAAGAUAUAAGGGAAAUUAACGAGUAUAUUAGUUGUUUUAAAGAUUCUGUAACAAAUAGUGUGAAAGAUAUAGAGCAAAAAAUAGAAAUAAAUAUAAAAGAAAUUGACAAAAAAUUUCAUACGAUAUCAAUAAAUCAAAAGCAACUUCUAGAUGAUUUUUACACAUCUGAAAAAAGUUAAGCCAAAAAAAAAAAUAAAUAAAUAAAAAAUACAAUAAAAUAACA
Molecule: long non-coding RNA, 815 nt
Filed under: Piliocolobus tephrosceles (Ugandan red Colobus)
Lineage: Eukaryota; Metazoa; Chordata; Mammalia; Primates; Cercopithecidae
Description: lncRNA (ENSPTEG00000017825.1)
Source: RNAcentral